This 574-nucleotide ribosomal RNA is filed under the name uncultured Cupriavidus sp. Its description in RNAcentral is "bacterial SSU rRNA". It matches the Rfam family "Bacterial small subunit ribosomal RNA", at positions 790 to 1368 of the family's 1533-position model. The record is from RNAcentral. Lineage: Bacteria; Pseudomonadati; Pseudomonadota; Betaproteobacteria; Burkholderiales; Burkholderiaceae.
GUAGUCCACGCCCUAAACGAUGUCAACUAGUUGUUGGGGAUUCAUUUCUUCAGUAACGUAGCUAACGCGUGAAGUUGACCGCCUGGGGAGUACGGUCGCAAGAUUAAAACUCAAAGGAAUUGACGGAGACCCGCACAAGCGGUGGAUGAUGUGGAUUAAUUCGAUGCAACGCGAAAAACCUUACCUACCCUUGACAUGCCACUAACGAAGCAGAGAUGCAUUAGGUGCCCGAAAGGGAAAGUGGACACAGGUGCUGCAUGGCUGUCGUCAGCUCGUGUCGUGAGAUGUUGGGUUAAGUCCCGCAACGAGCGCAACCCUUGUCUUUAGUUGCUACGCAAGAGCACUCUAGAGAGACCGCCGGUGACAAACCGGAGGAAGGUGGGGAUGACGUCAAGUCCUCAUGGCCCUUAUGGGUAGGGCUUCACACGUCAUACAAUGGUGCGUACAGAGGGUUGCCAACCCGCGAGGGGGAGCCAAUCCCAGAAAACGCAUCGUAGUCCGGAUCGUAGUCUGCAACUCGACUACGUGAAGCUGGAAUCGCUAGUAAUCGCGGAUCAGCAUGCCGCGGUGAAUA